Chenopodium quinoa (quinoa) is the source of this 608-nucleotide long non-coding RNA. RefSeq lists it as uncharacterized. The record is from RefSeq and is a predicted model, not a curated record. The transcript has 5 exons. NCBI's taxonomy places the organism in Eukaryota, Viridiplantae, Streptophyta, Magnoliopsida, Caryophyllales, Amaranthaceae.
UAUGACCGUGGGAUGGGGAAUAAAUAUAUAUAUAAAAUAGACUCAUCAAAGCCCAAUUUAAAAAAAACCCUAAAACACGGAAAAUUCAAUACCCCCACCCACAUUGAAGUAACGUCACUUCAAUUCAAAACCUUCUUCUACUCUCUUAUUUUCUCUCUCCUCUAGUUCAUUUUCUCUCACUAAAAAUCUGGAAAAAUCACAAUGGACAUUAGAGAUGAAAUGCAAAAUCAGAAGGAUCGUCCCAAGAAGAGAAAAAUAAAAAAUACCGGAAAUCAAGAAGAUAUGCCGCUAAAUAAAGUGUUUGGCACCAAAAAGAAGAAAGUUGCAAAGAGUCCUACUGUAGAUCCAAAAUUACUCAAUGAGAUUUCGAAAUAAGUUGUUGAAGAAGAGGAAAAUCGAUCAAAACAAAAGAGUUAACAAUGAAGUCGAACCACCAAAAGAAGGGGAAAAACAACCACAAGACGAUCAAAAGAUGCAAGAAAAGAAGGGGAAAAACAACCAGAAAAACCUUCUAAAGAAGAACAAAAGGUUCAAUCAAAAGCAACAGAGUUACCAAAAAAAAGGGAAUAUUUCAAGCAUUACCCCAAGCUUGAACCCCACUGUGAUCA